GAAAGAAAUACAUAUUAUAUUCAUAACUGCACCAUCUCAAAAAAUCCUGUCAACAUUGUUCAUCAAAUCAGUUUAUUGGAAACUCCUGUUUAUUUUCCAGGAUGACUCCUUCUUGGAAACUAUUGUCUCCAUCACUGCUUACGAGUUGACACAUUUAUGCUGCACAAAUUUUGGACCAGCAGUGUUUGGCAAUGAUAAAGCAGUUUAUCAGCUUUUAAGCAACUUAGCCAAACACAAGACGGUUCAAGAUGAUAUCUGGGAAAAAGGCAAUAAAGGUCUGAUGCAACUGUUGCACGAUUUGGAGGUGUUUUACCCUAUUUCAGUAGCUGACUUACUUCUCGUUCUAAUUCCAUUUUGCUCCAGCAAAGAACGAUGUGAUACGAUUGUAGAAAUGAUGGACAAGCAGAUGUUGUAUUAUACUUCAGAAAGUGUAAUGUUAUCGCAGACGGAAAGUCAAGAAUGGGUGAACAGCUUCGAUUUUCAUCCUUUGGCAUUUGUACAACAAGUUUGCAUUCCUAAAGGGACAAAGUGUAAGCGAAUUGAAGGCAACUUUCGUUGGGACUACACCAUAUCAUUUUGGCACAUCAUGACUGAUUAUUUGCGCAAUUAUGUUCGAGUUUGCUCAACCGCAGUUCAUCAUACCAUUCAUCAAGAUUUACGUCGAAAGGUUCUUAUGUACCUGAAAUUUACCUGCACUUUUAUGAAAUAUAGCAUAGAUACCUCUCACGUAUUUCUGGCUGCAUUGGAUGAAAUGUUGAUUCUUCUUUCCAAAAUUCCUUUCACUGAGAAGACUGUCGACAUAGAAAUUAUCACUGCCUGCCUACAGCUUUACACUGAAGCCGUUGCUGUAUUCCCUCAAAGAAUAGUGGCGUUGUGUUCAGAUCUACCAGUCUUUCCAAAGUGUGAGCGA
RNAcentral lists this long non-coding RNA (910 nucleotides) under Bemisia tabaci. RNAcentral describes it as "lncRNA ENSSSA3NGG003704". Lineage: Eukaryota; Metazoa; Arthropoda; Insecta; Hemiptera; Aleyrodidae. The record is from RNAcentral.